This 242-nucleotide ribosomal RNA is filed under the name uncultured Porphyromonadaceae bacterium. Its description in RNAcentral is "partial 16S ribosomal RNA". It matches the Rfam family "Bacterial small subunit ribosomal RNA", at positions 796 to 1041 of the family's 1533-position model. The record is from RNAcentral. Lineage: Bacteria; Pseudomonadati; Bacteroidota; Bacteroidia; Bacteroidales; Porphyromonadaceae.
CGCACAGUAAACGAUGAAUACUAGCUGUUGGCGAUACACUGCCAGUGGCACAGCGAAAGCGUUAAGUAUUCCACCUGGGGAGUACGUUCGCAAGAAUGAAACUCAAAGGAAUUGACGGGGGCCCGCACAAGCGGAGGAACAUGUGGUUUAAUUCGAUGAUACGCGAGGAACCUUACCCGGGCUUGAAUUGCAUCUGAAUGUCGUGGAAACAUGGCAGCUAGCAAUAGCAGAUGUGAAGGUGC